Molecule: ribosomal RNA, 203 nt
Filed under: Pseudomonas brassicacearum subsp. neoaurantiaca
Lineage: Bacteria; Pseudomonadati; Pseudomonadota; Gammaproteobacteria; Pseudomonadales; Pseudomonadaceae
Description: partial 16S ribosomal RNA
Rfam family: Bacterial small subunit ribosomal RNA
Source: RNAcentral
GGUAAUACGAAGGGGGCUAGCGUUGCUCGGAAUGACUGGGCGUAAAGGGCGCGUAGGCGGACGGCACAGUCAGGCGUGAAAUUCCUGGGCUCAACCUGGGGACUGCGUCUGAGACGUGUUGUCUUGAGUAUGGAAGAGGGUUGUGGAAUUUCCAGUGUAGAGGUGAAAUUCGUAGAUAUUGGAAAGAACACCGGUGGCGAAGG